AUUGAACGCUGGCGGCAUGCCUUACACAUGCAAGUCGAACGGCAGCGGACCUUCGGGUGCCGGCGAGUGGCGAACGGGUGAGUAAUAUAUCGGAACGUACCUUUCAGUGGGGGGAUAACGUAGCGAAAGUUACGCUAAUACCGUAUAUUCUGUGAGCAGGAAAGCAGGGGAUCGCAAGACCUUGCGCUGAUUGAGCGGCCGAUAUCAGAUUAGCUAGUUGGUGAGUAAAGGCUCACCAAGGCGACGAUCUGUAGCGGGUCUGAGAGGAUGAUCCGCCUCACUGGAACUGAGACACGGUCCAGACUCCUACGGAGGCAGCAGUGGGGAAUUUUGGACAAUGGGCGCAAGCCUGAUCCAGCCAUGCCGCGUGAGUGAAGAAGGCC
RNAcentral lists this ribosomal RNA (383 nucleotides) under uncultured bacterium. RNAcentral's name for it is "bacterial SSU rRNA". It matches the Rfam family "Bacterial small subunit ribosomal RNA", at positions 30 to 416 of the family's 1533-position model. The record is from RNAcentral.